This 482-nucleotide ribosomal RNA is filed under the name uncultured fungus. RNAcentral's name for it is "eukaryotic LSU rRNA". The stretch from base 167 to 318 matches the Rfam family "5.8S ribosomal RNA". Lineage: Eukaryota; Fungi. The record is from RNAcentral.
AAGUCGUAACAAGGUCUCCGUAGGUGAACCUGCGGAGGGAUCAUUAUCGAAUGGCCUCGUGGCCUUCAACCUUGAAAACCUGUGGAAGCAAGAUGUGCUUCGGCGCUUCGGCGCCGUUUUUAUGCCUUAAACAAGUGUUUGUGUCUGAAUCAAAUACAAGAAAUAAAACUUUCAACAAAGGAUCUCUUGGCUCUCGCAUCGAUGAAGAACGCAGCGAAGCGCGAAAUGUAGUGUGAAUCGCAGAACAUUGUGAAUCAUCGAAUCUUUGAACGCACAUUGCGCCUCCAGUAACUUGGAGGCAUGCCUGUCUGAGCGUCAUUUAAAACCAUAAACAAAUCUGUGUUUGUAUUGGGCGUCGCCCCUGGGCGUGGCCUUAAAGUCAUUGGUCUUAUAUGCGGACGAGAUCCAUUAGGACAGACCGUGCAUGGACUUUAAACCUCUGACUUGACCUCAGAUUAGGUAGGACUACCGCCUGAACUUAA